Brassica napus (rape) is the source of this 141-nucleotide non-coding RNA. NCBI's taxonomy places the organism in Eukaryota, Viridiplantae, Streptophyta, Magnoliopsida, Brassicales, Brassicaceae. The record is from Rfam.
UCGCAGGAGCCUCCCGGGCUAGUCUGAAAAUAAUAAUUUGAGGAAUUAAGCCCCAAAGCUCCUGCUAGAUUGGUGACAUUCGUGUUGCAGUUCUGUCUAAAUCUUUCCUGGCUUAACUGUGUCAAAGCAAUGUCUAGAUUU